Molecule: transfer RNA, 72 nt
Organism: Camelus ferus (Wild Bactrian camel)
Lineage: Eukaryota; Metazoa; Chordata; Mammalia; Artiodactyla; Camelidae
Rfam family: tRNA
About the family: Transfer RNA (tRNA) molecules are approximately 80 nucleotides in length. Their secondary structure includes four short double-helical elements and three loops (D, anti-codon, and T loops).
Source: Rfam
GAGGGUAUAGCUCAGUGGCAGAGUGCAUGCAUAGCAUGCAUGAGGUCCUGGGUACAAGCCCCAGUACCUCUG